Molecule: ribosomal RNA, 394 nt
Filed under: uncultured bacterium
Lineage: Bacteria
Description: bacterial SSU rRNA
Rfam family: Bacterial small subunit ribosomal RNA
Source: RNAcentral
GUGUCAGCCGCCGCGGUAAUACGUAGGGUGCGAGCGUUAAUCGGAAUUACUGGGCGUAAAGCGUGCGCAGGCGGUUUUGUAAGUCAGAUGUGAAAGCCCCGGGCUUAACCUGGGAAUUGCGUUUGAAACUACAAGGCUAGAGUGUGUCAGAGGGGGGUAGAAUUCCACGUGUAGCAGUGAAAUGCGUAGAGAUGUGGAGGAAUACCGAUGGCGAAGGCAGCCCCCUGGGAUAACACUGACGCUCAUGCACGAAAGCGUGGGGAGCAAACAGGAUUAGAUACCCUGGUAGUCCACGCCCUAAACGAUGUCAACUAGUUGUCGGGAGGGUAACCCUCUUGGUAACGCAGCUAACGCGUGAAGUUGACCGCCUGGGGAGUACGGUCGCAAGAUUAAA